UCCCCUCUAUGUUUAUAUUUAUAGACUCGAGUUGUUACAAACUCCCCACGUCGUGCCGCACCGGUGCGCAACACCGUUUCCUUGCGGUGUGCGCCACAUGCGCCGUGCGCGCCACGACGUGGCUGACCGGGACUCAUACGGGUUUGAUCGUAAUCGAGCAUGCCUCCAAUCACGUCAUCCCCCAAACCUUAAUCGACUCUAGCUUUCCUAACUGAAACAAAGAUUACAUAUAAUGUGUUUGCAACA
Molecule: long non-coding RNA, 246 nt
Filed under: Sorghum bicolor (sorghum)
Lineage: Eukaryota; Viridiplantae; Streptophyta; Magnoliopsida; Poales; Poaceae
Description: long non-coding RNA (SBIC_LNC002144)
Source: RNAcentral